Molecule: ribosomal RNA, 126 nt
Organism: Fukomys damarensis (Damara mole-rat)
Lineage: Eukaryota; Metazoa; Chordata; Mammalia; Rodentia; Bathyergidae
Source: Ensembl
GUCUAUGGCCAUACCACCUUGAAUGUGCCUGAUCACGUCUAAUCUUGGAAGCUAAGCAGGGUUGGGCCUCGUUAGUACUUGGAUGGGAGAAACCAAUUUUGGCCAAAUUCCUGCCUGUUAUAGAUC